Non-coding RNA from Rattus rattus (black rat), 432 nucleotides. NCBI's taxonomy places the organism in Eukaryota, Metazoa, Chordata, Mammalia, Rodentia, Muridae. The record is from the annotation of a RefSeq genome assembly.
AUGUUGGUGCUGAAGUGGGUUUUUGUGAUUGCUCUUUUUCAAGGUGUGCAUUGUGGGGUGCAGCUUGUUGAGUCUGGUGGAGGAUUGCUGAAGCCUAAAGGGUCAUUGAAACUCUCAUGUGAAGCCUCUGGAUUCACCUUCGAAAGCUAUGCCAUGCAUUGGGUUCGCCAGGCUCCAGGAAAGGGUCUGGAAUGGGUUGCCGGCAUAAGCAGUAAAAGUUAUAAUUAUGCAACAUAUUAUGCUGAUUCAGUGAAAGGCAGAUUCACCAUCUCCAGAGAUAAUUCACAAAGCAUGGUCUACCUGCAAAUGGAUAACUUGAAAUCUGAGGACACAGCCAUUUAUUACUGUACAAGGGCACAAGGAUUUCAGACCUAUUUUCAUUACAAAUAUUGGAACAAAGCAUCUUCUCUCACAGUCACACACAGGUAUUAG